Non-coding RNA from Drosophila suzukii, 192 nucleotides. NCBI's taxonomy places the organism in Eukaryota, Metazoa, Arthropoda, Insecta, Diptera, Drosophilidae. The record is from RefSeq and is a predicted model, not a curated record.
UUCCCAAAUUUUUGUUGUGCUUAUUUUUUAAUAACACUUCAUGUAAAUCUUACCAUGGGCGAAAGUCAAUUGAGUUUCACAAAUCACACACAAAUAAAACUAAUGUUCACAAAUGUAUUUGGCUUUAAAUAAUGAUCACAUUAAUCACAUUUAAAAAAUUAAAAACAAUGAAAUCGCAAAAGUGAAAAAAAA